This 87-nucleotide transfer RNA is filed under the name Stenotrophomonas chelatiphaga. Its description in RNAcentral is "tRNA-Leu". It matches the Rfam family "tRNA". Rfam says of the family: Transfer RNA (tRNA) molecules are approximately 80 nucleotides in length. Their secondary structure includes four short double-helical elements and three loops (D, anti-codon, and T loops). RNAcentral also lists the same sequence under 4 other names. Lineage: Bacteria; Pseudomonadati; Pseudomonadota; Gammaproteobacteria; Lysobacterales; Lysobacteraceae. The record is from RNAcentral.
GCCCGGAUGGCGAAACUGGUAGACGCAUCAGACUUAAAAUCUGCCGACCGCAAGGUCAUCCCGGUUCGAUUCCGGGUCCGGGCACCA